UGGGGAAUAUUGCACAAUGGGCGAAAGCCUGAUGCAGCGACGCCGCGUGAGGGAUGACGGCCUUCGGGUUGUAAACCUCUUUCAGCAGGGAAGAAGCGAAAGCGACGGUACCUGCAGAAGAGGCGCCGGCUAACUACGUGCCAGCAGCCGCGGUAAUACGUAGGGCGCAAGCGUUGUCCGGAAUUAUUGGGCGUAAAGAGCUCGUAGGCGGCUUGUCACGUCGGGUGUGAAAGCUCGGGGCUUAACCCCGAGUCUGCAUUCGAUACGGGCUAGCUAGAGUUCGGUAGGGGAGAUCGGAAUUCCUGGUGUAGCGGUGAAAUGCGCAGAUAUCAGGAGGAACACCGGUGGCGAAGGCGGAUCUCUGGGCCGAUACUGACGCUGAGGAGCGAAAGCGUGGGGAGCGAACAGGAUUAGAUACCCUGGUAGUCCACGCCGUAAACGGUGGGCACUAGGUGUGGGCAACAUUCCACGUUGUCCGUGCCGCAGCUAACGCAUUAAGUGCCCCGCCUGGGGAGUACGGCCGCAAGGCUAA
RNAcentral lists this ribosomal RNA (532 nucleotides) under uncultured Streptomyces sp. RNAcentral describes it as "bacterial SSU rRNA". It matches the Rfam family "Bacterial small subunit ribosomal RNA", at positions 355 to 897 of the family's 1533-position model. The record is from RNAcentral. Lineage: Bacteria; Bacillati; Actinomycetota; Actinomycetes; Kitasatosporales; Streptomycetaceae.